Molecule: ribosomal RNA, 525 nt
Filed under: Triticum aestivum (bread wheat)
Lineage: Eukaryota; Viridiplantae; Streptophyta; Magnoliopsida; Poales; Poaceae
Description: partial small subunit ribosomal RNA
Source: RNAcentral
AUGUCCAAUACACCCUACAUGCAACCAAAUGGAAGUAAGAUGAAAAACUCUACAGACAGUAAAUUAACACCAGUGGAGUUUCUGUCUGGCAAUGAGUUUACCAUCAGAGUUCAGGAACUGAAAAACAUAGUUUCCACAAGAACAAAAUCUUAUAGAAAAAUAGACAAGGGCAAAACCGUACAAAACCACAUGAAAGUAUUAAUUACCUGUAUGAAACCACCUCUAACUAGUUCUUCCAUUGCUUUGCCUCCGACACCAGUGGCAUGGAAUACAAGCGUCUCAUACCCUUCUUUGUUCAGUCUAUCUUUGACCGCAUUUGCACAUUGUGUGGUAACACCAAACAUUGUAAUUCCAACAGUCAGCUUUGUGUCUGUUUCAUCUGAUUCACUGGAAGCCAUUAAUAUCCCACAUACCAAUCCGGCAACAGCUGAAGCAGCAUUCGACAAUAUAACACGGCUGACACUGUUUAUUCCACAUAUGUCAACAACUGAAGGAAACAAUACCAAGUCAGAUGUUCCAACAUAG